GCGGAAGUGGUGGAACGGCAGACACGCAAGCCUUAGGAGCUUGUGCCCGCGAGGGCGUGAGGGUUCGAGUCCCUCCUUCCGCACCA
RNAcentral lists this transfer RNA (86 nucleotides) under Chloroflexota bacterium. RNAcentral describes it as "Chloroflexi bacterium (soil metagenome) tRNA-Leu". It matches the Rfam family "tRNA". From Rfam's summary of the family: Transfer RNA (tRNA) molecules are approximately 80 nucleotides in length. The record is from RNAcentral. Lineage: Bacteria; Bacillati; Chloroflexota.